AGACCCCAGGCUACAAGGCAUCUCCGAAGCUAUUCGGGUGGUGCCUGGCUUUCCCAAGCCAGGUUUUCUUUUUUACAACUUUUUCUUGUAUGUAUUGAGGAAAAAAAAGAGGCUUUGUUAGUGCUCAGUAGUCUCUUUUCCUUGUGUGGAUUUUCGUCGAAUAUAUUAGCUGAGAGUUGUUUCUUGACAGGGAUAAUGUUUCAAGACAUAACACCUUUGUUUCUGGAUCACAAGGUUUUU
This 240-nucleotide unclassified non-coding RNA is filed under the name Hevea brasiliensis (rubber tree). Lineage: Eukaryota; Viridiplantae; Streptophyta; Magnoliopsida; Malpighiales; Euphorbiaceae. The record is from RNAcentral.